Molecule: transfer RNA, 72 nt
Filed under: Marmota marmota marmota (Alpine marmot)
Lineage: Eukaryota; Metazoa; Chordata; Mammalia; Rodentia; Sciuridae
Also listed under: 3 other names
Rfam family: tRNA
About the family: Transfer RNA (tRNA) molecules are approximately 80 nucleotides in length. Their secondary structure includes four short double-helical elements and three loops (D, anti-codon, and T loops).
Source: Rfam by way of RNAcentral
UGGGGCAUAGCUCAGCAGUAGAGCACUUGACGGGCAUGCACAAGGUUCUGGGUUUGAUUCCCAGCACUCCAA